AGGGGAUAUCUCUGCCCCUCCCCCUCUAUAGAUUGCGCCUAAAUACCUCUCGUCUUAGUUUUGCCGAUCGAUCGAUCUGGGCCUGAGCGCCCAGCCGCAGCCGCCUCGCUUAUUUUAUCUUCCUCCCCCCUUCCGUUCUCGGAAUCCGUCCUAGGGGAAAGUCAGUCAGUCAGUCAGUCCGUGUGAUGGUUAAUUUUGCUAUGAAUUGGUCCUCUGGUACCCGUACCCGUACUCUCAGUUGAUGUCUAAGGUCGUGAUGAUGAUGGAUUAUUGGUGAUUUUUGUGUGGUGAUGAUGAGGAGAUUGCAACACAUCUCUGUUUUUUGGUUUCAUCGAUGAAGUAAAAGAUGCCGGUCGUUAUUAUCAUCCUCCAUGAGUGAAUGAAUGAAUUCUCUCUUGUCAGAUCAGAUCUCUGCUCUAGUGGUAGAACUAUUACCUCUGUCUGACAUCCUGUUUGUUAAUUGAUUAUGAUUAUGUUAAAGUAGAGUUUG
This 490-nucleotide long non-coding RNA is filed under the name Triticum aestivum (bread wheat). Its description in RNAcentral is "long non-coding RNA (TAES_LNC012938)". Lineage: Eukaryota; Viridiplantae; Streptophyta; Magnoliopsida; Poales; Poaceae. The record is from RNAcentral.